GCACCGGUAGCUCAGAGGCAGAGCGGCAGGCCCUUAACCUGCGCGACGGGAUUUCGAAAUUCCCCCGGUACA
This 72-nucleotide transfer RNA is filed under the name Roseobacter phage DSS3P8. It matches the Rfam family "tRNA". Rfam says of the family: Transfer RNA (tRNA) molecules are approximately 80 nucleotides in length. Their secondary structure includes four short double-helical elements and three loops (D, anti-codon, and T loops). The record is from Rfam by way of RNAcentral. Lineage: Duplodnaviria; Heunggongvirae; Uroviricota; Caudoviricetes.